Molecule: long non-coding RNA, 1910 nt
Organism: Lagenorhynchus albirostris (white-beaked dolphin)
Lineage: Eukaryota; Metazoa; Chordata; Mammalia; Artiodactyla; Delphinidae
Exons: 3
Source: RefSeq, a predicted model, not a curated record
GCUCGGACGCGUAGGUUUGUGCUUCCGCUCCCGGGCAAGACGCGAGUGCAAUCCUACAGGCGUUCUUAACGGCACACGGUCCCCGGACGCCGCAUCUCCUGUGGCUGGCAGCGAUCGGCGGCACUCCCUGAAAAUUUGCACAGGUUUUGCGCUGCCUACUGCAGCAUGGAGGUCUGGGCAGGCCUUAACACUUUAACCGCCUUCGCUUAUACGCGUGACGCCACUGUGUUGACGACGUUGUGGUUAUUCCAGUUGACGUCUCACUGUUUUGUUGUCUAAGGAAGAGUGCCCGUUAGUGUGAUUUUUUAUGUCAUCAGAUGUUAGCUAUAUCAGUCAUUUCUAAAUUCCUUCUACUCUUCGGUGCAGAGUUAGGCGAUAUUUCCUCUGAAUUUACAUGCUGAAAGUAAGCAAACUGUGCCCACCACCAUGUAAGUGAGAAACCAUGUGGGUUCUUCAUUGCCUGACCAGGGAUCGAACCCAUGCCCCCUGCAGUGGAAGUGCGUAGUCUUAACCACUGGACCGCCAGGGAAGUCCCAUGUACUGCUGUUCUUUUCAAGGAACUGUACAACAGAAGGACUCCUCUCUAAGAAAAGAAAAAGAAAAAAGGAAGGGAGAGGACAGCAAUGAACAACAAGAAUGAAAAAGCUUGAGGCAGAAAAAUGAAAAAGAAAUAGGUUAUUAGGAACAUGAAGAUCAAUGCUAAAUAAAAAGGAAAGGACGACGUGAACUUAUGUCCCUACAUGCACCCGCUACUCUGAUCAUGACAGUCUUCAAAUGUGCUCCAACAAAUGACUUGUUUCCACGCCUUGCUGCUUUUAACCUCACCUGGGAAUGUUCCUGACUUCUCAGGACACUACAUAUUCAUUAGGGACUUUCAUCCCUGUGGCUUCUAUCACAAAAGUAUUAUUGUUCACAUGUUAGCUUAUACUUUUGAAGAAAACCGUAACGAUGUAAUCAACUUGACAAUUUUAUACUUGUUAGGAUGAACAACGUGAUUUGGAAACUGCAUAAAUCUGGUUCUGCUGAUUCUUUCAUAUUGCUACUCCAUUUUGUUUGGGUUAAACAGACUAAGCUGUGACUUAGGGAAAGGACAAUUGCUAGGAAAACACUGAGUUUACUCUUGGUGAGGGGGACAUGGUCUGGGUCGCAUGUACUCAGAUGCAUGAUGUGUGCGGCCUACUGUAUAUCCUACAUACUGUAUGCGGCAUGUGUAUGCAGUAGGCAACCUGCACUACUGAAUGUGACAGCCCUAUUUGUAGGAACAGAUUUUUAAACCAAAUUUAUCAACUACCGCUAAUAAAACAUUAAAAAAAUAUUGACAGUAACAUGUAGGGCACAAAAAAUGUAAGCAAGUGUCAGUGCUCAAUUAGUACAAAUAGCUAUCCCCUCCCCCUCUUCUAAUUCAUGAAAAAACUGAAAUUUUUUUCUGCAAAUGACUCUAUAUUUCAUUCUCACAUAAAAAAACAAGCCAGAUUGCAUGGUGUGUGUGUGUGUGUGUGUGUGUAAAAUUUUGUAUUCAAAUGUAAUGACAGAGCCCAUACCUGAAAUUUCCCUAAUUGGAAACAUCUAGAAUUAUUCACGGUGUUGUAGGCUACGAAAGAAACCCUUGAGUUCAUAUGAUGUACACAUUGAAUCUCAGUAAGCUGUUCUUAAAGAGAAUUUCUCAGAAUUGCUAGUUCGACUGUACUCUGUCUAAUUACUAGGACUGGAAAUGUUUUCAUCUUCAAGUAUUGUUAAAAAUGUGUGUCCCUCCAAAAAGUCUAUUUGCUCUUGAUCUAAUCUAAUCUCAACUGGGAACAGCCUGUCUCUGCAUUCUAGGCUUUAACCCAGUGUUUUCCCAAAACAGUUUAGAAAAACCCUAAGAUUCGAAGAGUUAUUAUGAAGUGUUCUGUGAAUUAAAAGAAAAAAUA